AGACAAUAGAUACCCAGGUAGUCCACGCCCUAAACGAUGAUCACUCGAUGUGUGCGAUACACUGUACGCGUCUGAGCGAAAGCAUUAAGUGAUCCACCUGGGGAGUACGACCGCAAGGUUGAAACUCAAAGGAAUUGACGGGGGCCCGCACAAGCGGAGGAGCAUGUGGUUUAAUUCGAUGAUACGCGAGGAACCUUACCAGGGCUUGAAAGUUAGUGAAGGAUGUGGAAACAUGUCCGUCAGCAAUGACACGAAACUAGGUGCUGCAUGGCUGUCGUCAGCUCGUGCCGUGAGGUGUUGGGUUUAAGUCCCGCAACGAGCGCAACCCCUAUCAUUAGUUGCCAACAGGUCAAGCUGGGGACUCUAAUGAGACUGCCCGCGCAAGCGGUGAGGAAGGUGGGGAUGACGUCAAGUCAUCACGGCCCUUACGUCCUGGGCUACACACGUGCUACAAUGGCCGGUACAGAGGGCAGCCACAUGGUAACAUGGAGCUAAUCCUUAAAGCCGGUCUCA
RNAcentral lists this ribosomal RNA (513 nucleotides) under uncultured bacterium. RNAcentral describes it as "bacterial SSU rRNA". It matches the Rfam family "Bacterial small subunit ribosomal RNA", at positions 774 to 1290 of the family's 1533-position model. The record is from RNAcentral.